CGUGAGAUGUUGGGUUAAGUCCCGCAACGAGCGCAACCCCUAUUGUUAGUUGCUACGCAAGAGCACUCUAGCGAGACUGCCGUUGACAAAACGGAGGAAGGUGGGGACGACGUCAAAUCAUCAUGCCCCUUAUAUCCUGGGCUACACACGUAAUACAAUGGCGGUCAACAGAGGGAAGCAAAGCCGCGAGGCAGAGCAAACCCCCAAAGCCGUCCCAGUUCGGAUUGUAGGCUGCAACUCGCCUGCA
RNAcentral lists this ribosomal RNA (247 nucleotides) under uncultured bacterium. RNAcentral's name for it is "partial 16S ribosomal RNA". It matches the Rfam family "Bacterial small subunit ribosomal RNA", at positions 1066 to 1320 of the family's 1533-position model. The record is from RNAcentral.